Molecule: ribosomal RNA, 490 nt
Filed under: uncultured bacterium
Lineage: Bacteria
Description: partial 16S ribosomal RNA
Rfam family: Bacterial small subunit ribosomal RNA
Source: RNAcentral
AUUGAACGCUGGCGGCAGGCCUAACACAUGCAAGUCGAACGGUAACAGGAGGAAGCUUGCUUCUUUGCUGACGAGUGGCGGACGGGUGAGUAAUGUCUGGGAAACUGCCUGAUGGAGGGGAUAACUUCUGGAAACCGGAGCUAAUACCGGAUAAACUUUGAAACCCCAAGGAGGGGGACUUCAGGGCCUUUUUCCUUUGAAUUGUCCAAGGUGGGAUUAGCUAGUAGGUGGGGUAACGGCUCACCUAGGCGACGAUCCCUAGCUGGUCUGAGAGGAUGACCAGCCACACUGGAACUGAGACACGGUCCAGACUCCUACGGGAGGCAGCAGUGGGGAAUAUUGCACAAUGGGCGCAAGCCUGAUGCAGCCAUGCCGCGUGUAUGAAGAAGGCCUUCGGGUUGUAAAGUACUUUCAGCGGGGAGGAAGGGAGUAAAGUUAAUACCUUUGCUCAUUGACGUUACCCGCAGAAGAAGCACCGGCUAACUCCGUG